AGAGUUUGAUCCUGGCUCAGAUUGAACGCUGGCGGAAUGCUUUACACAUGCAAGUCGAACGAUGAACCUUAUCUUGCUAAGGGGAUUAGUGGCGAACGGGUGAGUAAUAUAUCGGAACGUGCCUUGUAAUGGGGGAUAACUAGACAAAAGAUUAGCUAAUACCGCAUACGCCCUGAGGGGGAAAGUAGGGGAUCUUCGGACCUUACGUUAUAAGAGCGGCCGAUAUCUGAUUAGCUAGUUGGUGGGGUAAUGGCCUACCAAGGCGACGAUCAGUAGCUGGUCUGAGAGGACGACCAGCCACACUGGAACUGAGACACGGUCCAGACUCCUACGGGAGGCAGCAGUGGGGAAUUUUGGACAAUGGGCGCAAGCCUGAUCCAGCCAUUCCGCGUGAGUGAAGAAGGCCUUCGGGUUGUAAAGCUCUUUCGCAAGGGAAGAAAACUUACUUUCUAAUAAAGAGUGAGGCUGACGGUACCUUGAUAAGAAGCACCGGCUAACUACGUGCCAGCAGCCGCGGUAAUACGUAGGGUGCGAGCGUUAAUCGGAAUUACUGGGCGUAAAGCGUGCGCAGGCGGUUUGGCAAGUCAGAUGUGAAAUCCCCGAGCUCAACUUGGGAACUGCGUUUGAAACUGCCAGACUAGAAUAUGUCAGAGGGGGGUAGAAUUCCACGUGUAGCAGUGAAAUGCGUAGAGAUGUGGAGGAAUACCAAUGGCGAAGGCAGCCCCCUGGGAUAAUAUUGACGCUCAUGCACGAAAGCGUGGGGAGCAAACAAGAUUAGAUACCCUGGUAGUCCACGCCCUA
This 801-nucleotide ribosomal RNA is filed under the name uncultured bacterium. RNAcentral describes it as "bacterial SSU rRNA". It matches the Rfam family "Bacterial small subunit ribosomal RNA", at positions 8 to 804 of the family's 1533-position model. The record is from RNAcentral.